Molecule: ribosomal RNA, 497 nt
Filed under: uncultured bacterium
Lineage: Bacteria
Description: partial 16S ribosomal RNA
Rfam family: Bacterial small subunit ribosomal RNA
Source: RNAcentral
GAUGAACGCUGGCGGCGUGCCUAAUACAUGCAAGUCGAGCGAACAGAUAAGGAGCUUGCUCCUUUGACGUUAGCGGCGGACGGGUGAGUAACACGUGGGUAACCUACCUAUAAGACUGGGAUAACUUCGGGAAACCGGAGCUAAUACCGGAUAACAUUUGGAACCGCAUGGUUCUAAAGUGAAAGAUGGUUUUGCUAUCACUUAUAGAUGGACCCGCGCCGUAUUAGCUAGUUGGUAAGGUAACGGCUUACCAAGGCGACGAUACGUAGCCGACCUGAGAGGUUGAUCGGCCACACUGGAACUGAGACACGGUCCAGACUCCUACGGGAGGCAGCAGUAGGGAAUCUUCCGCAAUGGGCGAAAGCCUGACGGAGCAACGCCGCGUGAGUGAUGAAGGGUUUCGGCUCGUAAAACUCUGUUAUUAGGGAAGAACAAAUGUGUAAGUAACUGUGCACGUCUUGACGGUACCUAAUCAGAAAGCCACGGCUAACUACGUG